GACGAACGCUGGCGGCGUGCUUAACACAUGCAAGUCGAACGGAAAGGCCCUGCUUUUGUGGGGUGCUCGAGUGGCGAACGGGUGAGUAACACGUGAGUAACCUGCCCUUGACUUUGGGAUAACUUCAGGAAACUGGGGCUAAUACCGGAUAGGAGCUCCUGCUGCAUGGUGGGGGUUGGAAAGUUUCGGCGGUUGGGGAUGGACUCGCGGCUUAUCAGCUUGUUGGUGGGGUAGUGGCUUACCAAGGCUUUGACGGGUAGCCGGCCUGAGAGGGUGACCGGCCACAUUGGGACUGAGAUACGGCCCAGACUCCGACGGGAGGCAGCAGUGGGGAAUAUUGCACAAUGGGCGGAAGCCUGAUGCAGCAACGCCGCGUGCGGGAUGAAGGCCUUCGGGUUGUAAACCGCUUUCGACUGUGACGAAGCGUGAGUGACGGUAAUGGGUAAAGAAGCACCGGCUAACUACGUG
This 468-nucleotide ribosomal RNA is filed under the name uncultured bacterium. RNAcentral's name for it is "partial 16S ribosomal RNA". It matches the Rfam family "Bacterial small subunit ribosomal RNA", at positions 28 to 507 of the family's 1533-position model. The record is from RNAcentral.